AUUGAACGCUGGCGGCAUGCUUUACACAUGCAAGUCGAACGGUAACAGGCCGCAAGGUUCUGACGAGUGGAGAACGGGAGGGUAAUGCAUCGGAACGGGCCCCGUCGUGGGGGAUAACUACUCGAAUGAGUAACUAAUACCGCAUACGAUCUAUGGAUGAAAUCGGGGGACCGUAAGGCCUCGCGCGAUUUGAGCGCACGAUGUCAGAUUAGGUAGUUGGUGGGGUAAAGGCUCACCAAGCCAACGAUCUGUAGCUGGUCUGAGAGGACGACCAGCCACACUGGGACUGAGACACGGCCCAGACUCCUACGGGAGGCAGCAGUGGGGAAUUUUGGACAAUGGGCGCAAGCCUGAUCCAGCAAUGCCGCGUGCAGGAAGAAGGCCUUCGGGUUGUAAACUGCUUUUGUACGGAACGAAACGGCUCUGGUUAAUACCCGGGGCUAAUGACGGUACCGUAAGAAUAAGCACCGGCUAACUACGUG
RNAcentral lists this ribosomal RNA (482 nucleotides) under uncultured bacterium. RNAcentral's name for it is "partial 16S ribosomal RNA". It matches the Rfam family "Bacterial small subunit ribosomal RNA", at positions 30 to 507 of the family's 1533-position model. The record is from RNAcentral.